Molecule: ribosomal RNA, 460 nt
Filed under: uncultured bacterium
Lineage: Bacteria
Description: partial 16S ribosomal RNA
Rfam family: Bacterial small subunit ribosomal RNA
Source: RNAcentral
CCUACGGGAGGCUGCAGUGGGGAAUAUUGGUCAAUGGACGAGAGUCUGAACCAGCCAAGUAGCGUGAAGGAUGACUGCCCUAUGGGUUGUAAACUUCUUUUAUAUGGGAAUAAAAUGUUCCACGUGUGGGAUUUUGUAUGUACCAUAUGAAUAAGGAUCGGCUAACUCCGUGCCAGCAGCCGCGGUAAUACGGAGGAUCCGAGCGUUAUCCGGAUUUAUUGGGUUUAAAGGGAGAGUAGGUGGAUUGUUAAGUCAGUUGUGAAAGUUUGCGGCUCAACCGUAAAAUUGCAGUUGAAACUGGCAGUCUUGAGUACAGUAGAGGUGGGCGGAAUUCGUGGUGUAGCGGUGAAAUGCUUAGAUAUCACGAAGAACUCCGAUUGCGAAGGCAGUUCACUGGACUGCAACUGACACUGAGGCUCGAAAGUGUGGGUAUCAAACAGGAUUAGAUACCCGUGUAGUC